CCUACGGGGGGCAGCAGUGGGGAAUAUUGGACAAUGGGGGCAACCCUGAUCCAGCCAUGCCGCGUGUGUGAAGAAGGCCCUCGGGUUGUAAAGCACUUUCAGUGAGGAAGAACGCCUGGUGGUUAAUACCCAUCAGGAAAGACAUCACUCACAGAAGAAGCACCGGCUAACUCCGUGCCAGCAGCCGCGGUAAUACGGAGGGUGCGAGCGUUAAUCGGAAUUACUAGGCGUAAAGCGCGCGUAGGUGGCUUGAUAAGCCGGUUGUGAAAGCCCCGGGCUCAACCUGGGAACGGCAUCCGGAACUGUCAAGCUAGAGUGCAGGAGAGGAAGGUAGAAUUCCCGGUGUAGCGGUGAAAUGCGUAGAGAUCGGGAGGAAUACCAGUGGCGAAGGCGGCCUUCUGGACUGACACUGACACUGAGGUGCGAAAGCGUGGGUAGCAAACAGGAUUAGAUACCCUUGUAGUC
This 465-nucleotide ribosomal RNA is filed under the name Vreelandella stevensii. RNAcentral's name for it is "partial 16S ribosomal RNA". It matches the Rfam family "Bacterial small subunit ribosomal RNA", at positions 338 to 795 of the family's 1533-position model. Lineage: Bacteria; Pseudomonadati; Pseudomonadota; Gammaproteobacteria; Oceanospirillales; Halomonadaceae. The record is from RNAcentral.